This 253-nucleotide ribosomal RNA is filed under the name uncultured bacterium. RNAcentral's name for it is "partial 16S ribosomal RNA". It matches the Rfam family "Bacterial small subunit ribosomal RNA", at positions 524 to 776 of the family's 1533-position model. The record is from RNAcentral.
UACAGAGGGUGCAAGCGUUAAUCGGAAUUACUGGGCGUAAAGCGUGCGUAGACGGUUAUGUAAGUCAGGUGUGGAAGCCCCGGGCUCAACCUGGGAAUGGCAUUUGAGACUGCAUAGCUAGGGUGCGGAAGAGGGAAGCGGAAUUUCCGGUGUAGCGGUGAAAUGCGUAGAUAUCGGAAGGAACAUCAGUGGCGAAAGCGGCUUCCUGGUCCAGCACCGACGUUCAGGCACGAAAGCGUGGGGAGCAAACAGG